RNAcentral lists this long non-coding RNA (2709 nucleotides) under Marmota monax (woodchuck). The record is from RNAcentral. Lineage: Eukaryota; Metazoa; Chordata; Mammalia; Rodentia; Sciuridae.
UUGAAAUGGAUUCAAAGGUGAGGGGGAGGGAAUCUGACCUUGAGAGGAAGGAGGAAAGGUGGUUAGUGUUUUUCCAUUUAGGUGUUUUUUGAAGGGCAGGGAGUCGAGCUUGCUUGUGGAAAAGAGAGAGAUUAGGCAUGGGAUGGAAUCCCAGAGGCCCCCUGCCUCCUGCUGCAGAGGUAUGGCUAGUUGCUAAGUUUGGAGUUUGGUUAGACAGGGAGGCCCCCAGGAGCCCUGACGUGGGGGUCAGGCAGGGCUCACCGAGGCUGUGGAACCUGAGGUCCACUGGGGAAUAAAGAGUGUCCCAGAAACUGGGCCUUCACAGCCCAGGGGUGGGGGGGAGUAAAGGCCUGAAGAGGCGAUGGCCAGGGAGGACCGUGGAGGGGCCCAGUCGGACACCUCUGGACGGUCAUUGGCUCUUUGUGAGUGUGCAGUGCAGAGUCUGGGGUGGGCUUGGGGUCAGUGCAGCCGGUGUGAGGAAGGAGGACUGGCCGCACAUCAGGAAGGAGCAAGGCCACCUGGACCCUCCAGCCCUUCACACUCAUCUCCCACAGCCUCGGACCAACGAUGACCUUCAGGGCGGAGCGGCAUUCGGUCACUUUGUCUCCCUGUUCCCACCCCAGACACCUUCCCUUUUGUCAGCUCUACUCUGAAACCAGGCAGGGAGGGGACUCUGAGGACCAUGGUUCCCACUGUUGCCAGGUGGGCCAGCUGGCCCUUGGAAACACAAUUGGAGUCCCACUCAGGAUCUAAAAUCUUCUAGGAGUCUCAUUUAAAAACAGGAAAAAGAAAUGGGAAAUUAACUUGAAUAAUAUAACUUCAUUCCGUAAGUCCACAGUGGUGUCAUUUGACGUGAGUUCAACAUGAAGAUUAUUAGUGAGACAUUCUACAUUAUUUUGUACUAGAUCUUCAAAGCUGGCCAGCGAGGCACAUCAGCGCUGCGGCGGAGCUGUUCCACCAAAUGCAGGGAAAAUGCUCUCGGAUCCUGGGCCGCCGGGCACGCAGGGCCUGGGGCCAGAUGUGCUACGCUGGCUCCAGAGCCUGUGCCCAGCUCAGGGCCUCUGUCCUCAUUGGUGAGCUCCUUACCUGCUCCCUGUCCAGUCCCAGUGAAGCCAACUGUGGCCCAAGACUGAAGCCCUGUGUGACAUCCCAGUAUAGACAUUGCCCUUUGUGAGGCCCAGGAUGUGUGCCCUGUUCUCAAGCUGGAGCGCUCCGACUUCAGAGACCCGCUGCCAGUGAUGUUGGAGGGCACGGAUGCCCUUCUCUGGGCUGGAUCAAGCUGAACCAGACCCAGGAGUGUUGGAUGUGGGGCUUGGUCAGAGCCAUGUGGGGCGUCUCCUCUGCCCCAGGCCCUCCUGGAUCCCCAGCCUUUGCCCCCAGCUGCCAUGAAGAUCCAGACCUUUGAGUUAGGCUUUGGAACAUGGAGACUUUCUUGGUGGGCCACGGGCAGGCGGUUAUCAGAUCGUCCACCUUGGUCUGGGAAGGUCAUGGUUCUUAAUGGUGGAGCUUUGUAGGGUGGGGGAGAGGAGGAGCCAUGCUGAAGAGAGGUCAGUCUCCACAGCACAGAGGUAGUGGCACCGGAGGCAGUGGGGUGGGGUGGCACGUAGGCAGCCCUUUCACAAUCCCAUGGGCUCCAGCCAGCCCUGUCAGCAGUGACCCAUUUUCUAGAGCAGGAUCCCUGGCGGGAGGUGCCCGGCCCUGUCAUUUCCCCCCUGAGGACUCCUGCCUGCCUUCGAGAAGUCUGUUUGGUCACAGAACCUUGGGGCAUUUCAUGGUGCUCCUUGGGUUCAGAGGGGCAGGAGGGCCCUCUGCUUCUCCCCUGCUUGGGCUCCAGGAGCCUGGCUUUGUUUACCAGCAUGAGAUUAGGUAACUCUGCCAACAGAACAAAGGCCCUGGCCUGCUGCCCAGAGGUUCUGGAAGUUCCAGGCACCAGGGCAGGAGAUGCGCACGUGGACCUGUGCAUACUCCAAACAGGCCAGGGAGGGCCAGCUGGCCGGAAACCUCGGUGGCCCAGGUCUGACCUAAAGGGCCCCAGGUGCCUCAGUACAGAUGUCAGUGGGUUCAGACUUCAGCCACUUUAAUCCAGAAGGCCAUGUCAAUUAUGUUCAUAAAAGCUGAGUGUUGGGAGGAAGGAGGAGCCCGGCCCCUCUUCAACAGCUUCUGGUUACACCCUAAGCUAAUCUGGUGAUCCAACAAGAGAGCUCGAACAAAUGGCAGGACUAUCUAUCUGUGUUUCCAUUUAAUAAUUUGAUAAUUUGCAAUACUUUUAAAAUGUCACAGACAAAAAGGGAAUGGUGAUCCAUGGUUUAUAAACCAUCUCCUGGGAGUGGUUAGUUCCACUGGAAGCACAAAAUAGACGUCUAACAAAGGUGAGCGGCUGACUCAGCCCCUACUCACUUCUUGCCUCUGUAGCCUAGUAGGUGGUCAAAUUGUUGGGUUUAAAUGCCUUUUAGGUGUUCUAGAUGGAAUUCCUGAAACGCAUCUCUCUAGAAGAAGAGAUGCAGUACUUAGAAAGGGACAGGAAGCAGACAACAUCUCCUGUCAUUGAAUGCUGUUUCCUGCCUUCUGAGUUUGUUUUUAUUUGUGGUUACUUAUCUUUUUCCUCCCUCCCACUUCUGUCAUCCAGUUAUCAAGUUCCCCUCCAUGGUUUCUUGUAUAUUUUUCCAAAAUACAAAUACACAGAUAUUUUAUAUGUGUGGGUAAAUACAU